GUCCACGCUGUAAACGAUGCAUACUAGGUGUUGGCCUUUCGGGGCCAGUGCUGCAGUUAACGCAUUAAGUAUGCCACCUGGGGAGUACGUCGGCAACGAUGAAACUCAAAGGAAUUGACGGGGGCCCGCACAAGCGGUGGAGCAUGUGGCUUAAUUCGAUGCAACGCGAGGAACCUUACCUGGGCUAAAUCCACUGCGCUACCUCUGGAAACAGAGGGUUCUCUAUGAGACGCAAUGGAAGGU
This 243-nucleotide ribosomal RNA is filed under the name uncultured bacterium. RNAcentral's name for it is "partial 16S ribosomal RNA". It matches the Rfam family "Bacterial small subunit ribosomal RNA", at positions 793 to 1039 of the family's 1533-position model. The record is from RNAcentral.